GCUACCAUGGAAACAAGAAUGUCAGCCUUCUGGGGACCUUGCUCCUAGGGUCUCUCCAGACCUGAAGCUGCUGGUGUAGUUGGCAUGAGACCAACUAAGCUGGCUGUGGAGCUGGGUCUGGCAAGGGGCUGUGGACCAGGAGGGAGAUGAGGCCCUAGAGUUCAACGUGGACACGUAUGACCUCACCUCAGGUGGAUGAAGAGAUGCUAACAGAAGACCAUCAACCAUGCCACAACAUGCAGACAUUCAUACCACAGGAUAACGGGCUCAGCCCCUAUCUGGGAGGUCUGCCUCUUCUUCGAGCCUGCAGUUGAAGAAAGGACCAACAAGGCUGCCACAGGCAGCAUUUUAAAUUAUUUAUUAAAACAAGCACAAGUUAUGAGA
Mastomys coucha (southern multimammate mouse) is the source of this 384-nucleotide long non-coding RNA. RefSeq lists it as uncharacterized. The transcript is spliced from 3 exons. The record is from RefSeq and is a predicted model, not a curated record. NCBI's taxonomy places the organism in Eukaryota, Metazoa, Chordata, Mammalia, Rodentia, Muridae.